CAAACUUUAGGUGGUUCCAGUAUGGAGCUUUAGAUAUUGAAUCAAAAGCUAUUUGUCGUCCAUAUCAAAAUCUGCGAUUGUUUUAAGUUGAAUGCAUAUAGUCUUUAUAUCUCAAAAUCCUCUUUGCUUUUGAAAAUGACUUCAUGAGAACAUUUUCUCAAAAAAAAUAAAAAUGACUUCAUGAGAACAUGAUCAUAAAAUCAGCACCUAUAUAAAUAUCAAAGAUUAGAAAGAAUUGGAAGAGCAGACUUAAAUUAGCUAACUUGGAAGUUGGAUGCUUUCGAUUUCAUUAAAUUGGAAGCUUUCAAGAUUAUUUUCUGCUGAGAUAUAGUACCUAAUUUAUUUUGACCAUGAUGUCAAAACUAAUUCAUGGAUAGAUAGGAAAGUGAAGUACUUCCAUUUCUCAACUUCUGACUGUAUUUCAUGUCAAAAAUCAGUUUUAUGCUUGGUUUCUUACAGUUAUAGCUUUUGAAG
This 474-nucleotide long non-coding RNA is filed under the name Solanum tuberosum (potato). RNAcentral describes it as "long non-coding RNA (STUB_LNC002205)". The record is from RNAcentral. Lineage: Eukaryota; Viridiplantae; Streptophyta; Magnoliopsida; Solanales; Solanaceae.